Molecule: ribosomal RNA, 484 nt
Filed under: uncultured bacterium
Lineage: Bacteria
Description: partial 16S ribosomal RNA
Rfam family: Bacterial small subunit ribosomal RNA
Source: RNAcentral
AUUGAACGCUGGCGGCAGGCCUAACACAUGCAAGUCGAGCGGAUGAAGGGAGCUUGCUCCUGGAUUCAGCGGCGGACGGGUGAGUAAUGCCUAGGAAUCUGCCUGGUAGUGGGGGAUAACGUCCGGAAACGGGCGCUAAUACCGCAUACGACCUGAGGGAGAAAGUGGGGGAUCUUCGGACCUCACGCUAUCAGAUGAGCCUAGGUCGGAUUAGCUAGUUGGUGGGGUAAAGGCCUACCAAGGCGACGAUCCGUAACUGGUCUGAGAGGAUGAUCAGUCACAAUGGAACUGAGACACGGUCCAGACUCCUACGGGAGGCAGCAGUGGGGAAUAUUGGACAAUGGGCGAAAGCCUGAUCCAGCCAUGCCGCGUGUGUGAAGAAGGUCUUCGGAUUGUAAAGCACUUUAAGUUGGGAGGAAGGGCAGUAAGUUAAUACCUUGCUGUUUUGACGUUACCAACAGAAUAAGCACCGGCUAACUUCGUG